RNAcentral lists this long non-coding RNA (631 nucleotides) under Jatropha curcas. Its description in RNAcentral is "long non-coding RNA (JCUR_LNC002103)". Lineage: Eukaryota; Viridiplantae; Streptophyta; Magnoliopsida; Malpighiales; Euphorbiaceae. The record is from RNAcentral.
GAUCGUCAUGAUUUUAUUUCAGUCAUCUUUAAGAUGUGGGUUUGUAAGUUGAAAAUCCCGUUGGAGCCAAAAUAACCCCCCAAGAAAAAAGAAGGAAAAAAAAUUUUUUUUUUUUCUCAAUCCGUUACCAUGUCUCACUACCACUUUAAUGAUAUUAGUAGAAAGAGAAUUGAAAUCCUUGAAUUCUUACUUAGUGACUUGUCUUUUUGCAGGGUGCAUCAGGUAUUAUUUUCCCUAUUAUAAGAGCAGAGGGAGUGAGGCAAAUGUUCUUCCCUGCCACUGUUCCUGCAAUAUAUAGACCUCCUCCUGUUAAAGAUUCAUCCGAUGAUACUCAAAAGUCAAGGUAACUUACCACUUUAAUGAUAUUAGUAGAAAGAGAAUUGAAAUCCUUGAAUUCUUACUUAGUGACUUGUCUUUUUGCAGGGUGCAUCAGGUAUUAUUUUCCCUAUUAUAAGAGCAGAGGGAGUGAGGCAAAUGUUCUUCCCUGCCACUGUUCCUGCAAUAUAUAGACCUCCUCCUGUUAAAGAUUCAUCCGAUGAUACUCAAAAGUCAAGGUAACUUUGGCGUUGUCGUCAUACGUGCUAGUUCUCAUUUCUUAGUUUUGGAUUGACUUACAUAGACGGGUCCAUAC